CUAGCAUCAUAUUCAUAGACAGCAACUAAUGAACUCACCUUUAAUUACUGGUUUACAGGGAUCUGGAGCAGGAGAAAACUGGGUCCACACCCAAAGCAAGUGAGAAGUCCUGAGUGGUCUGAAUACUCUCACUGAGAAGAAGAAAGCCAGCAGAAAGCCAUCCAUUCCAGCGACUCUACAAGAGAGAAGUGACUGCAGAAAAUUGGAAUGCAAGAUUCAGAAAACAGACUUUGUAUAAGAUUAAGAUUGUGCUGAGAACUGGUAGUUGGGGAACAGUACUGCACUAGCACAGAAACGUGGCUUUUGUAUUGGAGCCAAUGCAUAACUGAUAUAGAGUAAGCUGAGUCUACAUACACAGUCU
RNAcentral lists this long non-coding RNA (361 nucleotides) under Anas platyrhynchos platyrhynchos (common mallard). RNAcentral's name for it is "lncRNA (ENSAPLG00000026788.1)". Lineage: Eukaryota; Metazoa; Chordata; Aves; Anseriformes; Anatidae. The record is from RNAcentral.